GAGCCAUUAGCUCAGUUGGUAGAGCAUCUGACUUUUAAUCAGAGGGUCGAAGGUUCGAGCCCUUCAUGGCUCACCA
This 76-nucleotide transfer RNA is filed under the name Bacillus tequilensis. Its description in RNAcentral is "tRNA-Lys". It matches the Rfam family "tRNA". From Rfam's summary of the family: Transfer RNA (tRNA) molecules are approximately 80 nucleotides in length. Their secondary structure includes four short double-helical elements and three loops (D, anti-codon, and T loops). The record is from RNAcentral. RNAcentral also lists the same sequence under 5 other names. Lineage: Bacteria; Bacillati; Bacillota; Bacilli; Caryophanales; Bacillaceae.